Molecule: non-coding RNA, 14529 nt
Organism: Phasianus colchicus (ring-necked pheasant)
Lineage: Eukaryota; Metazoa; Chordata; Aves; Galliformes; Phasianidae
Source: RefSeq, a predicted model, not a curated record
CCCACCUAGACUAGAAGAAAAUAGACUUUUUUUUUUCAAUUAUCUUUUGCUUUUAUUUCAUUAUAGUUUGUAAUAGCUCUGAAGCUAUAAAUCUUAGCCAGGGUUCUCCACAAGGCUUCCCUUUCAGUGAAAAUGUCCUUUUUCACGUUUCUAAUUUUAUCCAUUUCUUUGCCAUACAAGAUUUUUCCCAGGCAUCAACCAGAAAUGACUUGUGCUCUUCCUUAGAAUGCUAAAGCUACAGAUUAACUCUUCAGUGAGGGGUUAGGCAGUGAAAUGUGAGUGACAUUUUGCAAACUAGGAAACCUGGGUAUAUUUUGUACUAACUUUAUAAAAUAAUCCUUGAUAGGCCAACUGUUUGUCCUAUGAAGAAACUGGUAAGUAGAAGGGGUGAAAUCCUCCCUGAUCAUCUGGUGUUGCUGUGGAGCAGUCAGGAGAUUAACUCCAUUUUUAGGACCGCUAUAUGAAUAUCCCCAGAGGUUUUCCUCCCAGUACUGUCUUCGAUAGUACUGCUUAUAUAUAUAUAUUUACUUUAAAAGGUGGAAUUGGUCUCAGUGUGGAUGUUCUCUAGCACAAGCAUGAGAGAUGCUCUGAGGUGAAGCACAGUUUGCCUUGGGCACCAGCUGCACCAGGCUGAAGUGUCCUAACCUUUCACAUCAAUGCAGCUUCUGUUUAGAGAUGCAUAUUUGCAGGGAAAUUUUAGAAACUGGUAUCUGUCCAAGCCACAUGCUUUUAUAAUAGGAGAUGGAGUUGACAUGCUGGAAUUCUAUUUUCUUCUGUUGAGACAAACAAAAAAAGAAAUCAGCAACCAACUCACUCUCAAGAAAUAUGAUGUCACAGUUGUGUUGAUCUGGGCUUUUUAGAAAUUUUAGUAUUUGGGUUUCUUGGUUGUUUUGUUUUUUGAAAGCUGCUCUGGGAAAAUAUGUGGUAGGGAUUUGAUGUUUUGUUUUAAGAGAUAAGUCAAUCAAAAAGAAUUUCAACAGCUAACAAGAUAAGUGACCUGUGGUCACAAACACAUAAUUGUACAGGCAAGGGAUAUUGCUGCUUUCAUGACACCAUUAUUUCAAGUGGAUCUGGAAGAGCUGCUGAGCAGUAGCAUCACUUACUCAGGGUCUGGAUUCAUAAGCUAUUGUUCUGGUUUCCUGAGGCCUCUCCUUUUAGUGGUAUUCUAUCACGUUGUUAUCUAGAGUUUAUCUUUUCUUAUGCCAAGAUGUGUUAAAUGCUGUGCUGAAGAUGGCACCCCUAUGCACAAUUACAGUCCUAGAGUAUCACUAAUUUUGACGUUUGAAUUAAUAACAGUGCAUACAUGCUACUGUUUUAUUUUCAUAUAAUGCUUGUGGUUUAUUUUUUUGUUUUGUUUUGUUUUUAGUUACAUUUCAUUCUAGUGUUAGAGAGAGAUUUUUUGCUUAGCAGCGUUCAUAGUGUAUCACUGUAUAAGUUUUGCUUAAAGUUACCUUUUUCUCCUGAAGAAAAUUGUUUACUUCAGGCACCAUAAUGUCCCUUACACAUGAAGAUCACAGGUAGGUGAGUUUAGCAGUGGUCACUGGCUGAAAUAGGACUGAACUUUUCAGAAUCUAGUUGUGGAGAGGUAUAAAUCACAGGAAUUUAGCUGCUGCCAGCUGAAUCUUUCCUGCUGCAGCAUACCCAGAAUGUUUGAAGAAUGGCCUAGGUUAAAGCAAAGGCAAUUGAGGUGCCCUUUUGUAGAUGAGUUGUGUUAACCAUGAGGUUUCCCUUAUUCUGUGGAUUUUGUGGGGUAGCUUUUUAAAUUUUAAAUGAAGUUUAAUUUUCCUGACAGCUGAAUAUUAGCAAGUCUUUGUGCCAUGGCUGCUGUGACCUAUGUGGUUCUUUUGGGACUCAAAUUUCUGUAGGAAGAUUGAACAACAACUUAGAAAGAUGCUAACCACUACAUUGCUUGUAAUGAUGCUUGUUUCCUUUUUUUUAGUGUGGUAAAGACAUAGCAGACAACCUCUGUUGAAAGCAAACCUCAGCAUCACUCUGAAUUUUCAGAUCUCAUAAUAGUGGGGAAGUUUUAUAGAAUCAUAGAAUGGCCUGGGUUGAAAAGGACCCCAAAGAUCAUCUAGUUUCAUGAUCUUUAACCAGUUGGUUUCACAAGGCAUACACUGGCAUAGUUUUGUACGACAGAAGUGGACAUGGGAACAAUUUGUUAGGCAGCAUCCACAUUUGUUUUAUUUCCAUUUUAAGAUCUAACCAUGUUGGUGCAGCUGUGAGCCAAGCAUGUGUCAGCAUGCACCCUUCCUGCAGCCAGUGAGGGUCUAGUGCUGCUGGAAGAAUUCAGUACAUAAAAAUCGAAAGGACCAACUCUUGUCUUUUGGUUUGCAAACAUUUAAGUGGAGAUGCACUUUAAAUGAGAGCUUGUUUACUUCUGGGCAAGCAGUGCUUGGGUUUGAAGUUUCUCACUUGAGUUGGUUCUUAAGAAGUUAGUGUUUGGGCACCACCUCAGUUCCUUCAGGAGACUUGAAUAUGGUGGAGCUCCUAAAUGACCUUUUGGGGCUGAGUUCAGAGUUGAGAGGUGUGGUGGCAGAGGAUUUCACUGGUAGAUAACAGCUAUGCAUGGCACCCUUGCUGCGGCUGAUCAGUAGGUACUCAUAGCCACAAUGGGUUUCCUCUCGGGGCAUGGAGCGCUAAACUCUGCAGUUCUUGAGAUCGUUUUUUGGGUAUAAAUCCAAGCUAGUGGUGGGCAUGAUCGGGGCAGACAGAACUACUGCUUCACAGGUUUUGCUGGGGGCUUUGAGGGCAUCACAAAAGGUUGUGGGUGUUUAUUUUUCUUAAUUGUACACUAGUUGUAUUCAUUAUUUUUCUUCCUGUAUAAAUAAACCUUACUGAUCCGUGCUGCCUUAGUGACAAAUCUCUGUUUAGCUUAGCUUUUAUUUGACCACGUGUCCCUUGAAGCUCUCCUUUUCCUGGGUUGCUCCCCUUGCUCCCUUUGUCUGACCAGUUUCCUUCGCCUUUGAGGGCUGCUGGGGUGACUGCUUUUGCAUGACAAAGAGAAACACGCUGCAUUGUUGCGGCCCGAGUUGUGGUGGUUUUGUGGCUGCAAAACGCAAGCUCAAGUGAAACAGUCAGCUCAUCAAUUCUUAUUUUGUGAAGUAUUUUACAUACUCUGGGGCUUGGGGAAACUUUAUCAGAUCUCUGUCGAUGUGAGAAGAGCGUGUGUACUAGCCAUAACUCCGGGCAGAGAGAGAGCUUGUUUAGAGUCCUUCAUGAUAUUGAACUGGACUCUUUCUUAUGUAUUUUGAGUUUCUGGUAUCCUAAGAGUGUCCUCAUGAAAACUGGUGUUUUUUUCUAGAAACCCAGAUUCUAGAAACAACCAAUUGUAUGAAGCCUUGGGGUUGGCGGAGGAGGAAAAGAGGUACUUGUGGAGUGUGUAUGCAUAUUUCUUCUUUUGAAUAUGUGCCUAGAUUUAAAUGUCUUGCACUCUGUUAUCCCAGGGACCAGGAAAAGGUCCCCAAAGCUUUGGAUUUUAACUCAGUUGCAUGAUUAUUUGUUGAGGCCUGAAUUCUUGAAAGUGGAAAUGCUGUAGAAGUGCAAUCUUUCCCCUUUCAGCUUUUUCCCCUGUGGAGGGAGAAAGAAUUCUUUUCUCUCCGCUGCUCCCUAACUCAAAGACCUCAGUCUGUUGGAGAAUAAAAGGGAAACGGUUCUGCCUUCCCUUGCUUUGACUUUGGAGAGUCAAUCUUACUUAGGCAUCAUAUCAGAGCAUACCAGAACAGCUCUCUAAUUUUUUCAAAAUAGCAGCAGAAUGGCUCUUGUUAGGUUCACUUUGGCCCAACAAGUUCUGAAUAGUGAAUCUGACAAGAAUUGUAUUGUUUUUAGUUCUACUGCUCUGGAAAGCUGUGAGCCAAGGGAAAGAUGCUGGCAUGGUGUAUACAGUAAAACAGCAUGGGGUUAGUUCUCCUUUGCAAGGCUGUCUGCACUGCUGAGAUGCUUGCUACUGAAUAUAGGAUUAUUAUUAUUUUUUUAAAAGCUUAUGUAUGAAUUAGUGCACACCUCUCCCGUCUGCCAGGAGAAGGCUUUCUCUUAUCCGUGCCGAAUGAGUGAGGAGAAUCUUAAAGCCCAGAAUUAUUCCCUCAUUUACUUCCAUAAUCAAAUACAGCAGAGUGCACUGAAGACAUAUCCUAGAGGAAAUUCGUUUCCUUUUUUAAGGCAUGAAACCUAUUUGGUCACUCUACUCUCCGACACGUAGCUUCCCUAUAGCAGUGUAUUCUGUGUGCACUUUGCAGUGGUCCUGUAUCAGCUUUUCUUGGCUGUGUUGUACAAGCAUCGCUGGCUUUCAAAACUGAAGCUGGUGUAAACGUGCUUGAAACCCUUCAGCUAUCUGGCUAACAUGUUUUGUUUUGUUUUGUUUUUGUUUUGUUUACCUUUUUUUCUGACAGUAGAAGAAAAUGAAACAGAGGACCUGCAGGCAGGUGUGGGACACACAGCCGCACAGACUGACCCUAACUGUAAACUAGAAGACAAGACAGAAGAUGGAGAAGUGUUAGACUGUAAGAAAAGGCCGGAUGAAGGGGAGGAGUUGGAAGAAGAAGCUGUGCACAGCUGUGACAGCUGCCUCCAGGUGUUUGAGUCACUGAGUGAUAUCACAGAACACAAGAUUAAUCAAUGUCAACUGACAGAUGGAGUGGAUGUUGAGGAUGACCCCACUUGCUCAUGGCCAGCAUCAUCACCUUCCAGCAAGGACCAGACUUCCCCAAGCCAUGGAGAAGGUUGUGAUUUUGGUGAAGAGGAGGGAGGCCCAGGGUUGCCCUAUCAGUGCCAGUUUUGUGACAAAUCGUUCAGCCGCCUCAGCUACUUAAAGCACCACGAGCAAAGUCACAGUGACAAACUCCCUUUCAAAUGCACGUAUUGCAGUCGUCUCUUCAAACACAAACGAAGCAGGGACCGCCACAUAAAGCUUCAUACGGGAGACAAGAAGUAUCACUGCAGCGAGUGUGAUGCAGCAUUCUCAAGGAGUGAUCAUCUUAAAAUUCACUUAAAAACUCAUACGUCCAACAAGCCAUAUAAAUGUGCCAUUUGUAGACGUGGAUUCCUGUCAUCUAGUUCGCUGCACGGCCACAUGCAGGUUCACGAGAGGAACAAGGAUGGCUCUCAGUCUGCUUCCCGGAUGGAGGACUGGAAAAUGAAGGACACUCAGAAGUGCAGUCAGUGUGAAGAAGGCUUUGAUUUUCCUGAAGAUCUUCAGAAGCACAUUGCGGAAUGUCACCCUGAGUGUUCUCCUAAUGAAGACCGAUCUGCUCUUCAGUGUGUUUAUUGUCACGAACUCUUUGUAGAGGAAACGUCUCUGGUGAAUCACAUGGAGCAGGCUCAUAAUGGUGAGAAGAAGAAUUCAUGCAGCAUUUGCUCUGAGAACUUUCACACUGUGGAAGAGCUGUACAGCCACAUGGACAGUCACCAGCAGCCAGAAUCAUGCAACCACAGCAACAGCCCAUCAUUGGUAACUGUUGGCUACACCUCAGUCUCAAGUACCACUCCAGAUUCCAAUCUCUCUGUGGAUAGUUCAACAAUGGUGGAAACGGCUCCCCCUAUACCAAAAGGCCGUGGAAGGAAGCGGGCAGCUCAGCAAGUGCCAGAUAUCACUGGUCCUUCAAGUAAACAGGCAAAAGUUACCUACAGCUGCAUUUAUUGCAACAAACAGUUAUUUUCCAGCCUUGCAGUUUUGCAGAUACACCUGAAAACUAUGCAUUUAGAUAAACCUGAACAAGCCCAUAUCUGUCAGUACUGUUUGGAGGUAUUGCCAUCUCUCUACAAUCUGAACGAACAUCUUAAGCAAGUCCACGAAGCUCCGGAUCCAGGGCUGAUUGUUUCCACCAUGCCUGCCAUGGUGUACCAGUGCAACUUCUGCUCUGAAGUGUUCAAUGACCUCAACACUCUUCAGGAACAUAUCCGAUGUUCUCAUGGAUUUGCCAACCCUGCUGCUAAGGACAGUAAUGCGUUCUUUUGUCCCCAUUGCUACAUGGGGUUUCUUACAGAUUCUUCUCUGGAAGAGCAUAUUAGACAAGUCCAUUGUGAUCUUAGCAGUUCCCGUUUUGGUUCCCCUGUGCUCGGAACCCCAAAAGAUCCAGUAGUGGAAGUGUAUUCUUGUUCUUACUGUACAAAUUCUCCAAUAUUUAAUAGCGUUCUUAAAUUGAACAAGCAUAUCAAGGAGAACCAUAAGAACAUUCCUUUGGCACUGAAUUACAUCCACAAUGGAAAAAAAUCCAGAGCCAUGAGUCCCUUAUCUCCUGUAACGAUUGAGCAGACCUCUUUAAAAAUGAUGCAGGCAGUUGGAGGUGCUCCUCCUCGUCCUGCAGGUGAAUAUAUUUGUAAUCAAUGUGGUGCUAAGUAUACUUCCUUGGACGGUUUUCAGACUCAUUUAAAAACACAUCUUGAUACUGUCCUACCAAAACUGACCUGCCCUCAGUGCAACAAGGAAUUUCCAAAUCAGGAGUCUCUGCUGAAGCAUGUUACCAUUCAUUUUAUGAUCACCUCAACCUACUACAUCUGUGAAAGCUGUGACAAGCAGUUUACUUCUGUGGAUGACUUGCAGAAGCACCUACUAGACAUGCAUACAUUUGUAUUCUUCCGCUGCACCUUGUGCCAAGAGGUUUUUGACUCCAAAGUCUCUAUCCAACUACACUUGGCUGUGAAGCACAGCAAUGAAAAAAAGGUAUAUAGAUGUACAUCUUGCAACUGGGAUUUCCGCAAUGAGACUGACCUACAGCUGCAUGUUAAACACAACCACUUGGAGAACCAAGGCAAAGUGCACAAAUGCAUCUUCUGCGGUGAAUCCUUUGGUACAGAGGUGGAGCUGCAGUGCCAUAUUACUACGCACAGCAAGAAGUACAACUGCAAGUUCUGCAGCAAAGCUUUCCAUGCCAUCAUCCUGCUGGAAAAGCACCUAAGGGAAAAGCAUUGUGUUUUUGAAACAAAAACUCCAAACUGUGGAACGAAUGGGGCAUCUGAGCAGGUUCAGAAGGAAGAAGUGGAGCUCCAGACCUUGUUGACAAAUAGCCAGGAGUCCCAUAACAGCCACGAUGGCAGCGAAGAGGAUGUGGACACAUCUGAGCCUAUGUAUGGCUGUGACAUUUGUGGAGCAGCUUACACCAUGGAGACUCUCCUGCAAAACCACCAGCUUCGAGAUCACAACAUUCGGCCUGGAGAAAGCGCCAUAGUGAAGAAAAAGGCUGAACUCAUUAAAGGGAAUUACAAGUGUAAUGUGUGUUCUCGAACAUUCUUCUCUGAAAACGGGCUUCGAGAACACAUGCAGACACACUUGGGACCAGUGAAACAUUACAUGUGCCCAAUCUGUGGCGAGCGGUUUCCAUCUCUUCUGACUCUUACUGAACAUAAAGUCACACAUAGUAAGAGCCUGGAUACCGGAAACUGCAGGAUUUGCAAGAUGCCUCUGCAGAGUGAGGAGGAAUUUUUAGAGCAUUGCCAGAUGCACCCUGACUUGAGGAACUCUUUGACAGGGUUCCGCUGCGUGGUGUGCAUGCAGACUGUGACCUCCACGUUGGAACUGAAAAUCCACGGCACAUUCCACAUGCAGAAAACUGGAAAUGGUUCUGCCGUGCAGUCUACGGGGCGCGCACAACAUCUCCAGAAACUGUACAAGUGUGCUUCUUGCCUGAAGGAAUUUCGUUCAAAACAGGAUUUAGUGAAACUUGACAUCAAUGGUCUGCCAUAUGGUCUGUGUGCUAGCUGUGUUAAUCUCAGUAAAAGUGGUAGUCCAAGUGUCAACAUCCCUUCAAGCAGUAACAGACAAGGCAUGGGCCAAAAUGAGAACUUGAGUUCCAUUGAGAACAAAAGCAAGGCAGGGGGACUGAAGACUCGAUGUUCUAGUUGCAAUGUUAAAUUUGAAUCAGAAAGUGAACUCCAAAACCAUAUUCAGUCAAUCCACAGAGAGCUUGUUCCAGACAGCAACAGUACACAGCUGAAAACACCACAAGUAUCUCCAAUGCCCAGAAUCAGCCCCUCCCAAACUGAAGAGGUAACCCUUUUUAUUUUGCUCUUGACACCUUCCAUCCUUUUAGAAAAAAAUCCCCCUUUUUUCAAGUCGUUUUGUCACUUGUCAUGAAAUUCUUAGGCUGAACCAUGUUACAUUUCCAUCUGUAGCUAUUAGCUAGUAAUUACUUGCUUCUUGAUAUGCCUUACAUCUUGGAUUGAAUUGUGCGGAAUAGGACUAAUUCCAGUCUCCCUAGGAUAUUGUCUUCUGUAUCACUGAGGAGACCUAUCUUCAUGCCAGCACAACUGAGAUCUGGAAUCUUACCCUAGCUCUGUUAAUGCGUUGGAAUCCCCAGCUAGGAGUUGUGCUUACGGCAGGGAGCAUUAAUGACAGAGGAGUAGAACGCAGUGAGCCAAAAUGCUGGCAUAAGGGGUAGAUUUUUAAAAAAUAUUUGUGAACAACAAACUGCGGUUGGUUUUUUUCUUUGCAAAUUGUGUUGUAGACAUUGAUUUUCUCACUUACAGCAUAUUUGGAUUAAAUAGAAGUGCAACACUAGCCUAAGGUAAACUGGGAAAUGCGUCCUUCAGAGGCAGUUCCUGGUUUUACUUUUCUUUCCAUUCCCGAUGAACAGAUUUUGAUGUUGCUGAAGCACCUAUGCCUGAUGAAUGAAAUCCUGUUCAUGCAGUGUGACUUAGAAAAUAAAUCUACGUUUCAGAAAAAAACAAAGGGUCAAACUCUUAAAAGAUCCCAUCUGCUUUCUCAGACUCGAGUGACCAAAAAAUAAUGGUUGUAUGGGGAGUAGAAGGGGAAGGUAAGGGAGUCAUUUACUGACUGAAGGGAAUCUGCUUUAUCUCUGAUCUUCAGAAAUAUUAGCAAUAGAAUGACUGAGAGUUACUAUUUUAGUCAUGGUAUUUUGCAUAAUAACCUAUUAUAGUUCAGGAAGCUUUAAAACACAGCACACACAAAUUAAAAGAAAUAAUAGCUUUUGUUUCGAAAGAGCUUAUAACAUGUAAUGGUGCAAGUGUGUAGUAACCCAUCACUGUGAAUGCAUAUGGAUACCCUGUGGUUAAAGAGCUGCUCUUCCGUCUCUUUCAUCACUCCCUAUUUGUGAGCCCAUCUGUUGGGCAAGAAAUCUCUUAGCCUGUCACCCAGUAGACAUGUGCAAACUGGAGGGCAGGGGGGAGGCAGAGAGAAGGUGGAGUGAUGCAUGAGGAUGUGUGGUUCAAGAGGUAAGUGUGGAGCUACUGAGAACAUAGCUGGGAGGAGGCCACUGAAGCAGCACAGGACCUGGUGUGUUACCAAGAGGAACACUCCAGCUGGGAGAUGAAAGUGUAAUACCAGUCAGGAUGCAUCCACCAGAAAGUGACUCCAUGCUUUUAUGGCAUCUGCAUCUCCAGUGUGCAAGCUGGGGGUGAUAGGUGAUGCUUGGGGAAUGGGAUGUGUUGCGUAGUUAAUGGGAGGAGCAGUUUGUUAGAUUGAGAACUGCAAGUCUAAGGAAAACAUUUUCAAAGAGGAGAGAAGAGGAGUGGCUCCCAUUAUUGUACUUUUAGGCCACUGAUGGUCCUGUAGUAUUGCUGCUGAGUAGGAAUCACCGAAUGACCAGCUACAAACUUUUGAUAGAUUCACAAUCAUCCUAUUUUCUUUUAUCUUUUCCCAAAAGACUGCUUGAUAUCUCUCUUCCCAGUCAUUCUGGAAGCCAAUUCCUGCUACCUCAAGCAUGAACAGAAUCAUACAUGUUAAGACAGUUAACAAGAUAAUGUGUUGCCAAUUUGACUUUCUCUUGCUUGUAAACUAAGGAAAAUGAGAUAUAGGCAUUCUCUGCAGUGAUAUAAGGUCAGUUACCUUCAGUGUCCUCAGGGAAUCUUCUUGUACUUGGAUCAGGUAUAAUCAGCGUUUUUGUAUCUUCUGAUUGGUCUCAUGUUUCUUUUCUUGCUUUUUUCAUUUUUUAUCUUAGAAAUGUAUGUAAGAUGAAAAAGCCUUUUAAACUACAUCAAGAUUUUUGAGUAGAAUUUGCAUGCUUCCGAAUCACCAUUUGCCUUCUGCCUCCAUUCAGAGCUCUUAAACUGAUUUUUCAGUGCCUGUGGUUUUGUCUUCACAUGUGCAACCUAGGCUUUCAGAUUCUUUUCUCAUGGGAGGCAAAAAGCUAUCAAGUUCCUGAUAAAGCAUUAGUACUUCUGGAAACUAUAAAUGCAUGUUUAUAAAAUCUUGAAAGAUAAUUUAAUUUUCUAACAGAUAUUAUUUCAAAUUGUAGUGAUGCGAAUGUUAUAGCAAUGAGAAUCAAAAUUCAAAGUGGUAAUGCAAAGAUGUUCAACACUAUAGAUUUGUUAUCCAGGCUGAGAGAAAUGAAAACAUAAGCAUAUAACACAAACAGUAAAAACAAAUUGAGUUUCUAAAAUUUAUUAUUAGUUAGUGGCUUUGGUCCUGCACUGGAAGAAUAUUUGUCGAAUUGAAUGAGGUACUGAAGAAAGCUAUUUAAAUGUGUUAUUUUGGAGAAAUUUUCAACAACAAAAAAAAAUCAUUACAUUAAGGAGUGAAGGUUCCAUUUGCAUUAUUUAUAGUUGUUGGCUUGAGUUGUGAGCUUCAAGUAAAUAAUAGUUCACUUCAGAAGCAAGAAAAAUCUAAAGUAGUUAUCAGACAAUUAACAGUACUGAAUACCCUUCGUUACUCAGUUAAAAGAUGACUGUGCUAAGAGUGCUAGAAGAUACCUUUUUAAGAUAAAAGAACAUUAAACACAUGGUUUCUGCCUUCUUGGCAAGAAGAAGGUCAAGUAUUCCUAUGCUUAAGCUAGAACACUUUCCUUUUUAGUCUGUACAAAAUAACGUGAUAGGAUGUGAUUGUACUAUUGUCUUCAGACAGACAGACUUGAGACUUGAACAAUUCAACUGUGGAUAGAUGGCUAUUGAAAGAGCUUUUAAAUUAGUAAACCCCUAAUUUAUUCUUUGAGCUUAAUGAGAUGCUAAAUUCAGGCUGUAGAUUUCUUGUAAAAAUCCUAAAUUAUUGCAAGUAUGCUGUUAGGCUAGAAUAAUAAUCUUGGUGAUACUUAAUGUUUAAACGUGAAGAACAAGGUUUAAUGUGAUAGUGAAUUGAGAACUAGACAGAGAUUAUUUUCCUGUCACUCGUGUGCUUUGGCAACUCGGACAAAUCCACUUGAACAUCUCUUCCUCACUUUCCUUAUUGAGAAAAUAAUUUUGAUAGUUUCUGAAAAUGCAUUGCCAUGCUUAAUUACGAUACAUUUUCUGCAAAGGACUAGGAAGAUAAAAAGCAGUGUUCAAGAAAAGAUGUGCAGCUUUGCCUCUUUUGCUCUUCUUCGGUGUGUUGCUGUGCACCUAAUGAGAGAACUGCUGGCACAGCAGAAAGGUGUGCCUUUUCUUUUUAAGCUUCACAACUUCUGUACACUCAGAACCAUACCAGCAUAACAGUUCAAUAAUAAUUAUACUGCUAAUUGCUUAGCAGGCAGGGGAGGAGGGUGUGGACUUUAUACCAACAGUUCAUUGGUAAAGCUAAUCUGGUGGUAGUGUGUCCUUGUGAGCCACUGUGCUCAGUUUGGGGUCCUGUUGAUAACAUCCAGAGUAGAUGCUCAGCAAGCAUAAUUGCUGCUAUAAGUAGCUAAAGUUAUGUAUCACUUUUUUUCAUGAAUGUGAAGCUCAUAUGAAUACUGUAUUACCUGUGGCAAUGCAGACAGUCCUUCAUUAAUAAUACAAGGACAUUCUGGGUUUUCUGGUCCUGAGAAGAGAAGGGGCAGUGCAAGCACACUACUAAAUUACCGCAGGAAUAAAGAUGUUUAUCUAGGUGUUGCAAAAGACUUACAAAAAUUCACUGUAGCAGAGAAUCAAAGUGCUGAACAAAGAAGAAAAGAACUAGCAACAGUGAAGCCAGCUGAAGAACCGCAGUGAGAAUCUGGGGCUGCUCUCUGUCCCGUUGUGGUUGCACAGAGCUGUAUGCCAGGGUGGGCAUGUCCCAGCAAGGAGCACCUAGCACCGCACAGCACCAUUCUGGAACGAACCAUAAAGGUGCAGGCUAACAAUGAGCUCAUGGAAAUGGGAGUCACAGAAUUCAGGUGCUGAAGAGCUGGUGGCUCAAUGAAUCUCAACGUAUCUGACCUCAGAUGAAUCUUGAAAUGGUAUCUCUGGGAGCACGAAUGGCAUUCAGAUGCUUCAGUUGAGAAAUUCUUCAUACCUUUGCAUCGGAGGAAGAAAGGAUAACUUGUUCUCCAAACUUUUCAAGAGUUCCAAGCCAAGAUUUCCAUGAAACAAGGCAGCAGAAGCAGUGCCUCCUUGAAGAAAAGCAGAUUAACAGGAGAGGGGCACAGGAAAAUAGAUGAAGACAUUAAGCAACUCUAGAGAGGGUAUUUGUAAAUGUAUUUGUGUCUCAUAGAACUUCAACAAAGUUUUAUGGGACAAAGUGCCCUAAGAUGUACACUCCUGUUGAUCAUCUGGGCAGCCCACUGUUUUCAUGGGACUUUCCUCAUUCAUGUACCUGCUGGCCAAGUGACCAGGGUAACAUCACAGUUUCCCUUCCACACAACCUCAGUGGAAAAUCAGCAGUGAUGAGUGUUAGUACUUCGACCUCAAAAUCAUGUAGAAACCACAAUAAACUUUCUCUUUUUUUCUAGCCUGAUCAUCUUUGGGAACAAGACAUAGGAAAUCAUGAUAUGUGUCUUUUUGUCUCUUUGUAUACUACUAGAGAGUUCUCUCUCUUCCCCCUCCAACUUUUGAACUAUUCUUGCCCAAUUUCAACAAAAACAUUAUAGCUGAGCAGGAAUAUUAAAGUCUAUAGAGUUUUUACAACUUUGGUGGAAGAAAAGUGACCCAGCAUAUCAUCUGUGAUAGAAACCAGUCAAGAAAGAAGCCUUUUAGGGAUCCAAACCAGGAAGAUGGCUUUAACUGAAGUUCAUACCUGGUUUCUCUGCAAAAGUCUAUCAGCCACAAGACAUGAAGCUAUAAGGAACCACAAUCCACUCUUUGUGGUGAUUACACAGUAACUUUUAAACUGACUAAAUGUUUUGAGAAGUGCUAUUUGUUUUGGUUUUUUUUUUGUUUUUUUAAUCAGUGCUCAAUAAAGCUAUUAUAUGCAAUGUGUGUAUUAUUUAUCUCACACACCAAACAUGACACCCAAAUUUGUCACUCUGUCAUGAGAAACAUAAAAUGGGCUGUUAAUUUAAAAUGAAUGUGCAUCCCUAGUACUGCUUGUUCCAUAGAGUUGUACAAAAUGAACAUAAAUGAACCACCUGAUAGGUGGCAUCAUGGAGAGUCCUCUUGUUUGACCUAUGUCUUUGUGAAGACUGGUGAUUGAUCUUAACUCUAGUUGGUUGUUCAGAAUCUUUGGAUACUUUUUUUCCUUCCAAUCUCAUUUCCCAUUUAUUCUGUUUACUGCAUUCUUUUACAGCUGUAGAUAUGACAGCAGAAAUGUGUGUCCUGUCAACAUUAGUUGUUGCCAUGGGGCGUAUCAAGGCAGGAGUCGGUGGGCACAAGUUGAAAUACAGGGGCUUCCAUGUGGGUAACUGGUACAGGUUGCCCAGAAGAGGUUUUGGAGUCUGAGUGCCUAAACAGAGGACUGGUCCAAAAUGGCCUCCAGAGAUCCCUUCCAACCUCAGCCAUUCUGUGAUUCUGUGGUUUCCAGAGUGCUUUUGGCCUGCCUACCAGAUGUGCAUCUGUGUUACCUUGUUCUCUCUUGGUGGUUAAACCUUUAUUGCUAGUAUAGAUGCCAUAAGUCAGGGAAUGAAAAGAUGGGGCAUCUCACUACAGUCCUACUAGUAACAAUGUGCACAUCAAAGAAAAAAAAACCACACAGUUUGCAGUUUUUAUUGGAGACCUAAGUUCAUUGAAGUGAAGGCCUCACAUGCGUUCAUUGAUCAUUCAUAUCGCCCAUGAAAUGACUUUGAAAAGCCCCUUAAAAAUAUAGCCUCUUAGAAAUGCAGUCAUUAAAAGUCGCUUGCUGCUUGUAUACUCAAAAGCAAGGUGGAAGGUAGGAGGAAAAGAGACUGUUUGUCCCCUUUGGUCAUGCUUCCACAAUUUUGGUAUCCUGCAUAGGAUAGUGUUCCUCUCUUGCCUGUUAUCCAGAUUCAGCUGUAUGCAAAAAGGCACACCUAAUGGCUUCUUGUGUCUGGAAGGCCUCCUCUUCCCUCUGCUUUUUCUGAGAGGAAAUAGAAUGGUUCACCAACAGAGAACGAUCUGAGAUUCCAAGCUUCCAAAUUCCUUUUUCCACCUUCAUUUCCACUGCUACAACAGUCCUCUUGGUUUCUGUUCUGAUGGCUGAAGUAGGUUUGGUGCGAAACUAGGAAUGUGGCUGUCUGCACAUGCCAAUCCUGAAGCUUUCCCUGACAAACUCACAGUUGAUCCUUUCUGCUGCUUGGGCCUUCUUUUUGCAGGCCUAAUAAAAGAACGUCUGCAACACCUGAUGAUUUUUGUGAAUGCUUUCUCUUAACCUUACUUCUUCUGUUUUCUUCUAAUCCCUGCUUCACAAUUUCAUAGUCCAUAUAAUGGUGGUCUAGACAAGCCUAGACAUAUGGUAUUCUGUUUCUGAAGUAAAUCCCUUGAUCUCUUUUUCUGUUAGAGAAUGGUAGAUUGAAGCCCAUGAACUUAUUACAAGAUGUA